Molecule: ribosomal RNA, 383 nt
Filed under: uncultured eukaryote
Lineage: Eukaryota
Description: partial 18S ribosomal RNA
Rfam family: Eukaryotic small subunit ribosomal RNA
Source: RNAcentral
CAAUAGCGUAUAUUAAAGUUGUUGCAGUUAAAAAGCUCAUAGUUGGAUUUCUGGUGGGAGCGAUCGGUCUGGCGCUUAGCGCGAGUACUUGCAUCGUCUCCGGCCAUCCUUGGGGAGAGUCUGUCUGGCAUUAAGUUGUCGGGCAGAGGAUCCUCAUCGUUUACUGUGAAAAAAUUAGAGUGUUCAAAGCAGGCUUAUGCCGUUGAAUAUAUUAGCAUGGAAUAAUAAGAUAGGACUUUGGUACUAUUUUGUUGGUUUGCGCACCAAAGUAAUGAUUAAUAGGGACAGUUGGGGGUAUUCGUAUUCCGUUGUCAGAGGUGAAAUUCUUGGAUUUACGGAAGACGAACUACUGCGAAAGCAUUUACCAAGGAUGUUUUCAUUAA